AUUGAACGCUGGCGGCAUGCCUUACACAUGCAAGUCGAACGGCAGCACGGGAGCAAUCCUGGUGGCGAGUGGCGAACGGGUGAGUAAUAUAUCGGAACGUGCCCAGUCGUGGGGAUAACGUAGCGAAAGCUACGCUAAUACCGCAUACGAUCUAUGGAUGAAAGCGGGGGAUCGCAAGACCUCGCGCGAUUGGAGCGGCCGAUAUCAGAUUAGGUAGUUGGUGAGGUAAAGGCUCACCAAGCCGACGAUCUGUAGCUGGUCUGAGAGGACGACCAGCCACACUGGGACUGAGACACGGCCCAGACUCCUACGGGAGGCAGCAGUGGGGAAUUUUGGACAAUGGCGCAAGCCUGAUCCAGCAAUGCCGCGUGCAGGAUGAAGCCUCGGUUGUAACUAGCUUUGUACGUAACGAACGGU
This 417-nucleotide ribosomal RNA is filed under the name uncultured bacterium. RNAcentral describes it as "bacterial SSU rRNA". It matches the Rfam family "Bacterial small subunit ribosomal RNA", at positions 30 to 453 of the family's 1533-position model. The record is from RNAcentral.